Molecule: ribosomal RNA, 373 nt
Filed under: uncultured bacterium
Lineage: Bacteria
Description: bacterial SSU rRNA
Rfam family: Bacterial small subunit ribosomal RNA
Source: RNAcentral
ACGAACCGUCCAAACGUUAUUCGGAUUCACUGGGCUUAAAGGGCGCGUAGGCGGCCGAGCGGGUCGUGGGUGAAAUCCCCCAGCUUAACUGGGGAACUGCUUACGAUACCACUGCGGCUCGAGGAAGGAAGGGGCAAUUGGAAUUGUCGGUGGAGCGGUGAAAUGCGUUGAUAUCGACAGGAACGCCUGUGGCGAAAGCGAAUUGCUGGUCCUUUUCUGACGCUGAGGCGCGAAAGCCAGGGGAGCAAACGGGAUUAGAUACCCCGGUAGUCCUGGCCUUAAACGAUGAGAACUAGGUAGUGGGUCCGACCUGGGCACACUGCCGAAGCGAAAGUCUUAAGUUCUCCGCCUGGGGAGUAUGGUCGCAAGGCUG